Molecule: long non-coding RNA, 250 nt
Organism: Silurus meridionalis
Lineage: Eukaryota; Metazoa; Chordata; Actinopteri; Siluriformes; Siluridae
Exons: 3
Source: RefSeq, a predicted model, not a curated record
CUGGUGGGACUGCGUUUUCCUGAACACUGGUGACGUCACCGGAUAUCUGGCGCAGCUGGGAGAGAUUCGUGUGUGUGGAUUGAGGAAUCCAGCCAUUAUCGGGUUAAAAUCAUCCCACUUCCUCAGUUAGAGUUUCUUGGCACACCGUGACCUGGUUGAACCGGAAAUGAGGAUCUGAGAUCCAUUGUAGUGGGCUGUCUUACCAGAGUGUCUUCGUACCAGGCUGUCUUCUUACCAGGGUGUCUUUGUA